CCUUUUUAAAAUUUUCCCACUUGCAAGUGCAUGGUAAAUCGGCAACUUGCUAAGAAAGAAACCAAUUUGCGUUGUCUUCCAUUUGUCUUCCCGCUGAUUCCUCACACUUUUGAGAGAGAAGCCACCAAUUUCCUUUAUCGCAACAGUAAUUUGUGUUGGUUUUGGAAGCUUAGAAGAUAAGGGUAUUUUAGUCCAAAAAUUUAUAUCUGGUUAUGUGAGUUAAAAAAAAAAAAAUUUGCAGUGGAUUUAUUUGUGGAAAUGGAAAAUUAUUUUGGUCAUUACCAGAAAUUUGAUUAAGUUCCACCAUAGAGGUGACAGGUAAGUAGAAAAUGAUAUUCGAAGAAGAAG
RNAcentral lists this long non-coding RNA (348 nucleotides) under Citrus maxima (pomelo). Its description in RNAcentral is "long non-coding RNA (CMAX_LNC002440)". The record is from RNAcentral. Lineage: Eukaryota; Viridiplantae; Streptophyta; Magnoliopsida; Sapindales; Rutaceae.